AGGCAAGGAAAGGUGGCCUCUGAUUCAAGCUACUGUAUGAAGAGGGGUCUGCGUACCAUUAGCUAGUAGGUGGGGUAAUGGCCUACCUAGGCGACGAUGGUUAGCGGGUCUGAGAGGAUGAUCCGCCACACUGGCACUGGAAUACGGGCCAGACUCCUACGGGAGGCAGCAGUGAGGAAUAUUGCGCAAUGGGGGCAACCCUGACGCAGCGACGCCGCGUGAGUGAGGAAGGUCUUCGGAUCGUAAAGCUCUGUCAAGAGGGAAGAAGUGCAAGGCAGCGAAUACUGUUUUGUUUGACGGUACCUCUAAAGGAAGCACCGGCUAACUCC
This 329-nucleotide ribosomal RNA is filed under the name Desulfobulbus sp. oral taxon 041. Its description in RNAcentral is "bacterial SSU rRNA". It matches the Rfam family "Bacterial small subunit ribosomal RNA", at positions 195 to 504 of the family's 1533-position model. The record is from RNAcentral. Lineage: Bacteria; Pseudomonadati; Thermodesulfobacteriota; Desulfobulbia; Desulfobulbales; Desulfobulbaceae.